Molecule: ribosomal RNA, 496 nt
Filed under: uncultured bacterium
Lineage: Bacteria
Description: partial 16S ribosomal RNA
Rfam family: Bacterial small subunit ribosomal RNA
Source: RNAcentral
AUGAACGCUGGCGGCGUGCCUAAUACAUGCAAGUCGAGCGAACGGACGAGAAGCUUGCUUCUCUGAUGUUAGCGGCGGACGGGUGAGUAACACGUGGAUAACCUACCUAUAAGACUGGGAUAACUUCGGGAAACCGGAGCUAAUACCGGAUGAUAUUUUGAACCGCAUGGUUCAAAAGUGAAAGACGGUCUUGCUGUCACUUAUAGAUGGAUCCGCGCUGCAUUAGCUAGUUGGUAAGGUAACGGCUUACCAAGGCAACGAUGCAUAGCCGACCUGAGAGGGUGAUCGGCCACACUGGAACUGAGACACGGUCCAGACUCCUACGGGAGGCAGCAGUAGGGAAUCUUCCGCAAUGGGCGAAAGCCUGACGGAGCAACGCCGCGUGAGUGAUGAAGGUCUUCGGGUCGUAAAACUCUGUUAUUAGGGAAGAACAUAUGUGUAAGUAACUGUGCACAUCUUGACGGUACCUAAUCAGAAAGCCACGGCUAACUACGUG